UACGUAGGGCGCAAGCGUUGUCCGGAAUUAUUGGGCGUAAAGAGCUCGUAGGCGGUUUGUCGCGUCUGCUGUGAAAACCUAAGGCUCAACCUUGGGCUUGCAGUGGGUACGGGCAGACUAGAGUACUGCAGGGGAGACUGGAAUUCCUGGUGUAGCGGUGAAAUGCGCAGAUAUCAGGAGGAACACCGGUGGCGAAGGCGGGUCUCUGGGCCGAUACUGACGCUGAGGCGCGAAAGCGUGGGGAGCAAACAGG
Molecule: ribosomal RNA, 253 nt
Filed under: uncultured bacterium
Lineage: Bacteria
Description: partial 16S ribosomal RNA
Rfam family: Bacterial small subunit ribosomal RNA
Source: RNAcentral